UACGUAGGGGGCAAGCGUUGUUCGGAAUUACUGGGCGUAAAGGGCGCGUAGGCGGCACGGCAAGUCAGGAGUGAAAGGCCUGGGCUCAACCGAGGAACUGCUUUUGAGACUGCCGAGCUAGAGUGCGGAAGGGGCAACUGGAAUUCCCAGUGUAGCGGUGAAAUGCGUAGAUAUUGGGAAGAACACCUGAGGCGAAGGCGGGUUGCUGGGCCGACACUGACGCUGAGGCGCGAAAGCCAGGGGAGCAAACGGG
RNAcentral lists this ribosomal RNA (253 nucleotides) under uncultured bacterium. RNAcentral describes it as "partial 16S ribosomal RNA". It matches the Rfam family "Bacterial small subunit ribosomal RNA", at positions 524 to 776 of the family's 1533-position model. The record is from RNAcentral.